Long non-coding RNA from Rosa rugosa (rugosa rose), 2686 nucleotides. RefSeq lists it as uncharacterized. Lineage: Eukaryota; Viridiplantae; Streptophyta; Magnoliopsida; Rosales; Rosaceae. The record is from RefSeq and is a predicted model, not a curated record. The transcript is spliced from 4 exons.
ACUUGUCUUGAAGAAGUAGAAAAGAAAAAGUUGUUGGGGGAAGGAGACGUAAAGAAACCUGCUGCUGCUGCUGCUUCCUUGACCUAAAAAGAGAGAUAAGAAUUAGCAAAGCAAAGUAGAUAAGUCAGUUUUUUUUUUUUUUUUUUUCGGUCAGUUGAAAGCACCUGUGAAUAUUAGAGCUCCAGAUCUGCUUGAUUAGCAGCACCUGUGAAUCACUCCUCAAAGCAGAUGAAGUGAUGGGACUUAGAUCUAGUCCUACAAUCAACGCCGAUCCGCAAAUCUUGCUUGAUCAUCCAUCUCUCAUAAUCACUCCUAGAUCUGCUUCACAGGCAUUAACAAAAAUGUUUUUGAUACACAUAGGCAUAUCUCAUCUUCCAGAUCUUCCAGCUGAUAUCACAAAUUAAUACAUCAAAAAAGAAAAAGGCUGAUACACAUAUUUUGGUGAAGGCUGAACAAGCUAAACAGCAUAUCGGAGAUGAUAUUCAACACUAAAGAGGUGCUUUUCGCAAGGCAUUUGCUAAACUCGAACGCAGACACAAGAGUUGCAUGGGUCAAUGGAAGGAAGCUCUUUCCGAAGCAGCUAAUAUAUCUGGAUGGCCUUUCUCCGAUGGCGAACUCUUGUGUACAGGAUAUCGACAAACUUUUAGAUAUGGAGAAAAGUAAUGUUCGCAUUGUAGGUAUACGAGGGAUUGGAGGAAUAGGAAAGAUCACAUUUGCUAAGGCCAUGUUCAAUUCAAGUCGCCCUAAGUUUAAAAUUAGCUGUUUUUUGACAGAUGUUAUAUCAACUUCAAUGCCACAUCGAGGGCUCUCCCAACUGCAAGAGACUCAUUUGUUUGAUAUCUUAGGGGACUCAAACUUGAAGGUGAGCGAUUGUAAUAUAUGAGUCAAUUUGAUAAUAAAAAUGAUGAAACACAAAAAACUUAUCUUAAUCCUUGAUGUUGUGAGCAGUUCGGAGAUAUUAGAUAACUUAGCUCCAUAAUUUGAUAGUUUUGGUCCAGGCAGUAGAAUUAUUAUAACACAAGAGAUGAACAUUGACUAUCUGCUCAUCAAGUUGAUUUAAUAUAUGAGGUCAAGAUGAUAGAUGAAGGUCAAGCAUUGGUAUUGUUUAGUUUGAAUGCAUAUUCAACAACAGUGAACCUCCAACCAAUUACAUUAAGCUUGAACAUCGGACGGUGUACUAUGCACAAGGUCUUCCAUUAGAUUUGAUACUUCUACCAGUUAAGUGACAACUUAAGAGUAUCAAAUCUAAUGGAAGACCUUGUGCAUAGUGUACCGCCCGAUAUUCAAGCUUAAUGUAAUUAGUUGGAGGUCCAUCACUAUUGAAUGCAUUCAAAUGAAACAACUUCAAUAUUUGACCUUCAUCUAACAUCUUGACCUCAUGAAUUGAAUGAGCAGUUGGUCAAUAUUUAUCUCUUGUUGUUAUAAUAAUUCUACUUCCUGGACCAAAAAUAUCAAACUAUGGAGCUGAGUUAUUUAAUUGCUCCGAAUCACUCACAUCAUCAAGGAUUAAGAGAAGUUUUUUGUGUUCCAUCCUUUUCUUUAUCAAAUAGACUCCUAUAUGAGCAUUGCUCACCUUCAAGUUUGAGUCCUUUAAGAUAUCAAACAAAAGAAUCUCUUGUAGUUGGGUAAAGCCUCGAUGUGGUAUUGAAUUUGAUCUAACAUCUGCCAAAAAACAGCUACUUUCAAACUUGUGGCGAGUUGAAUUAAACACGGCCUUAGCAAGUGUGGUCUUUCCUAUUCCGCCAAUCCCCCAUACACCUACAAUGCAAACAUUACUUUUCUCCAUGUCUACGAAUGUUAAUCUUCAACCUAUGCAUAUGUUCCCACCACCCCAACAACAUUUGAGUUUGCCUAUAGACCAAAGGAAUCACCAUGGUACCAAGAUCGUGAUAAGUGGACAUCCCAAAUCUAAUAUGGAGAUCUUUCUAGUUGUGCUUGUUGAACAUAAGAAGAGAGAGAUGAUGGAAGAAGAAAAAGAGAAGCUUGAAAUCCUAUGUUUCCAUUGUUACCAAGGAAGCCAAGUUGCUAAGAAGGGACCGCGUAGCAUCUCUAAAGAGGGUCAAGCAUCUUGUGGAACCAAGACUGCAACCUCCUGGUUACUCUUGAUGAAGAGAUUCUACGUCAGGCUGAAAACGUUAAACUUAGCGCUACUUGGAAGACAACUAAAUGAAUGGAGGAGAAAAUGGUGGCAUUGAAAGCUUCUGUAUCUACAUUUCAGUCAUGAGCAUUGUUGAUGUUCAAGGAAUUAGAGCAGAAAGAUGUGUUGAUAGUUGGCUUUACUUGAAUGAUGGACUAAUCCCAUGUUGAUAUGCCCAGCCCAAACAAUUGUGGGGGUAGUCUUAUGGCACUACACAUGCCUAGGUUAAUUAGGAUAUAUAUAUGUACCACACAUAUUAUAUAACUGCUACUGCAUACAUAUUGGUGAUAAAGAUAGAAGCAUCUUCUUUGUUUCCUUUGAUAUACAAAGUGCAGCAUAAUUGAAGGAACUUAAGAGCUUUGAGUUGGUGUUCGUGUUGGUGUCUUGUAAUUGGUUAGUUUCUAUUAGGAGUCGGGAAUUGGUUGUAUUGGGGUUUUGUGUAGGAGUUCAAUCAUAAACUCUAUUGUAUUCUUUCCAAUUGAUUGUAAUGGAAUUUAUCUUCGAAAGUUGAUGUACCUCAAUCACACUGAUUGAGUGAAUCACUAUAAA